Neonectria ditissima is the source of this 82-nucleotide transfer RNA. It matches the Rfam family "tRNA". Rfam says of the family: Transfer RNA (tRNA) molecules are approximately 80 nucleotides in length. Their secondary structure includes four short double-helical elements and three loops (D, anti-codon, and T loops). Further hydrogen bonds mediate the characteristic L-shaped molecular structure. tRNAs have two regions of fundamental functional importance: the anti-codon, which is responsible for specific mRNA codon recognition, and the 3' end, to which the tRNAs corresponding amino acid is attached (by aminoacyl-tRNA synthetases). tRNAs cope with the degeneracy of the genetic code in two manners: having more than one tRNA (with a specific anti-codon) for a particular amino acid; and 'wobble' base-pairing, i.e. permitting non-standard base-pairing at the 3rd anti-codon position. Lineage: Eukaryota; Fungi; Ascomycota; Sordariomycetes; Hypocreales; Nectriaceae. The record is from Rfam.
GGCGCAGUGGCAGAGUGGUCUAAUGCGUAUGACUAGAAAUCAUAUCUCUUCGGAGGCGUCUGUUCGAAUCAGGCCUGCGUCG